Molecule: ribosomal RNA, 497 nt
Filed under: uncultured bacterium
Lineage: Bacteria
Description: partial 16S ribosomal RNA
Rfam family: Bacterial small subunit ribosomal RNA
Source: RNAcentral
GAUGAACGCUGGCGGCGUGCCUAAUACAUGCAAGUCGAGCGAACAGACGAGGAGCUUGCUCCUCUGACGUUAGCGGCGGACGGGUGAGUAACACGUGGAUAACCUACCUAUAAGACUGGGAUAACUUCGGGAAACCGGAGCUAAUACCGGAUAAUAUAUUGAACCGCAUGGUUCAAUAGUGAAAGACGGUUUUGCUGUCACUUAUAGAUGGAUCCGCGCCGCAUUAGCUAGUUGGUAAGGUAACGGCUUACCAAGGCAACGAUGCGUAGCCGACCUGAGAGGGUGAUAGGCCACACUGGAACUGAGACACGGUCAAGACUCCUACGGGAGGCAGCAGUAGGGAAUCUUCCGCAAUGGGCGAAAGACUGACGGAGCAACGCCGCGUGAGUGAUGAAGGUCCUCGGAUCGUAAAACUCUGUUAUUAGGGAAGAACAAAUGUGUAAGUAACUAUGCACGUCUUGACGGUACCUAAUCAGAAAGCCACGGCUAACUACGUG